Molecule: ribosomal RNA, 240 nt
Filed under: uncultured bacterium
Lineage: Bacteria
Description: partial 16S ribosomal RNA
Rfam family: Bacterial small subunit ribosomal RNA
Source: RNAcentral
UGCGAGCAAAUACUCAAAAAUAAACGUCUCAGUUCGGAUUGUAGUCUGCAACUCGACUACAUGAAGUCGGAAUUGCUAGUAAUCGCAGAUCAGCAUGCUGCGGUGAAUACGUUCCCGGGCCUUGUACACACCGCCCGUCACACCAUGAGAGUUGGGGAUACCCGAAGCCUGUGAGCUAACUUUUAGAGGCAGCAGUCGAAGGUAGAAUCAAUGAUUGGGGUGAAGUCGUAACAAGGUAAC